This is a long non-coding RNA of Lotus japonicus, 681 nucleotides long. RefSeq lists it as uncharacterized. The record is from RefSeq and is a predicted model, not a curated record. The transcript has 5 exons. NCBI's taxonomy places the organism in Eukaryota, Viridiplantae, Streptophyta, Magnoliopsida, Fabales, Fabaceae.
UGGCUGAACCAUCCUAUCUCAUUUACCAAGUUUAUUUUCUUUUUCUUAGUGUGAAAGUAGAGAGAGAAAGAAAAAGUGAGAUGUAAGGGCAAAGUUCUUCACCAUCUUCAUCUUCUUCUCAAAACUUCCCUAAUAUUACCCCUAGCACCACCAUCACUUCAUGUUUUGCUCUUCUCUUCUUCAUUAAAGAGCCUUUGAUUGAAACGAAGGUUGAAUAAAGCUUAACAGAUCCUCCAUUUUUGAAGCUCUUUACUGAUCAGCUACGGGAAUUGGAGAAAUGUUGUAAUGAAAUGGGAGAAAAUGCCCUUGAUCAGAAUCUCUACCAGGAAAUUGCUGCAAAUUUUAGUGCUGGGAAUAAAACUUCCAAAUCAUGGGAACAGGAGCAGCAGUGGUUCCAAAAUAAGCUUAAAGAGUCAGAGGAUCAAGUUGCUUCAGCGGGCACAAUGAAUCAACGUGUUGAUCUUUCAGAUACACUCUUUUAAAGAAAUGGAAGGUCUAUACAGUUCUAGAAGGUUGUCCUUUCCCUUAGCGUGAGUUUGGGUAACACAUUUGCAAAUUCCAUGAAAUCGAUUAAAUUCCUUGAUUUAUAAAAUCUCUUGUUUCCUUCAGUUGCAAUAUCCCCUAGUUUGAUAGAACAAUUCAAUUUCCUUCAUUUUCAAACAUUUUGUUGUUUAAAGUAAA